Molecule: non-coding RNA, 3108 nt
Organism: Plasmodium blacklocki (nom. inval.)
Lineage: Eukaryota; Apicomplexa; Aconoidasida; Haemosporida; Plasmodiidae
Source: the annotation of a GenBank genome assembly
UUUAUAAUUUUUUAUAUAAUAUAUAUUUUUUUAUAUAUUUCAUUUUGUUUUUUUUUUCCGUAUAAAUUAUAGAAAAAAAAGAAAAAAAAAAUUUAUGAAAAUUGUAUUAUUUUAAUCUUUUACUAUAUUAUUAUAAUAUAUUAUACAUACAUAUAUAUAUAUAAUAAUAUAAAUAGCAAAUAAAGGAUGGGAAAAAUCCUUUUAAUAUUUUGUUUAUUUGUUUAUUUGUUUAUUUGUUUAUUUGUUUAUUUGUUUAUUUGUUUUUUCUUUUUUGUUGUUUUUUCUUUUUUGUUUUUUGUUUUUUUUUUGUUUUAAUUUUUUUAAAAUUUAUGAAAGAGAUGAUGUAAUAUAUAUAUGUAUAAAUUAAAUAUAUAUAAAAUUUAUAGAAUAUCCACAUUUAAACUUUCUUUUUUUUUUUUUUUUGUUUUCUUUGUUUUUUUUGUUUUUUUUGUUUUCGUCCGAUUGGAAAUUUAUACGGUGCGUAGUAUUAAAUUGUUAUGUGUACAAAAUAUGAAAUUCGUAGUAUUAUAUAUGUAUAUGAAUAUAAUUUAAAUAUAUAAAAUAUUAUUAUUAUAUAUUUGAAGGGAAAACAAAGAAAAAAAAAAAAAAAAAAAAAAAAAAAUACACAUGGAAACAUAAAUAAAUAAUAAUAAAUUGUUAAUAUAUAUGUAUUUAUAUAUAUUUAUUUAUAUAAUAUUUCUGUAAUUUUUUUUGGAAUAAAAAGAAAUGAGAAAAUUACAAAUGCACAUAUUUUUACAAAUAAAUAUAUAGAAAGUGUUAAGCUUAUUAAUGUCAUUUAAUUUAAAAUAACAGAUAGUUACAUAUAUAUAUAUAUAAUUAUAUAUAUAAUUAUAUACUUUUCAAAAUAAAUAAAUGUAGAAAAUAUGUCUAAUAUAACAUCAUUUAUUUGUCUAUAAAAUUUGGAAAUAAUUAUCCUUUAUAUAUAUAUAUAUAUAUAUAUAUAUUUAUUUAUUUAUUUUAUUUUAAGGAGAAUUAAUAGGUAUGUACAAUUUAUAAAAUGCAUAUAAUAAAAAGAAAAAAAAUUUACUUGUACAAAAUGUAAAUGGAUGAAUUGUAAAAGUUUUUUUUUUUUUUUUUUUUACCUUUUACAUAUUUCAUUGAAUUGAAAAAAAAAGGAAAAGAAAAAAUAUACAUUAUUUAUAGAAACUAAGAAAAGAGGAAUCUCCUUUAAAAAAUAUAAAUAAGUAAUAAGAACUAUAAAUAUAUUGUCAUGUGAAAAUAUAUAUAUGUAAAUUGUUUUAUAUUUGUAUAUGCUAGUCAUUUCUCCCCUUUUCUUUUCUGAACACCUAAAUUAUAAUAUAGAGAAAAAAAAAAAAAAAAAAAAAAAAAAGAGGAAGCAAAAAAAAAAUUAUAUAAAUAUAUAAUUAUAUAAUUUUUAUAAGAAUAUAAGGAAUAUAUAUAUAUAUAUAUAUAUGUUCAUAAAUCGUAUAACAAUAUUUGAACAUACACUUUGAAAUGUUGUUAUAUAUAAUUUUCGUUAUCCUUUUUUUUUUUUUUUUUUUUUAAUAUAUAAGAAGAUCAAAAUUAAAGUAUAUAUAUAUGAAUGUAUAACCAAUAUAUAGAUCCCAUUUUUUUUGUGUAACCAUAUUUUAAAUAUCAGUAUUAUGUCUGUCUAUAAAGAUCAUUUUAUUAAAUGAUAUAUAAUUUUAAAAUAUUUUAUCAUAAAAAGAUUCAACCUCUAUUAGAAAAAACGAAAGAAUAUAUACAAAUAUAUAUAUAUAUAUAUAUAUAUAUACAUAUAUAUUUUUAUAUAUUUUUUUUUUUUUUUUUUUUUGCUUCGCUUUCCUGUUAUAUAAUAUUUUAAUAUUAUGUUGGGAAAAAAAAAAAAUAAUUAUGUAAUAUGUAAUAUAUAAUAUAUCAACAUAUGUAAUAAAACACAUUUUAUUAUUUUAAAUGUAUUCGUUUAUCUUUGUCUUAAAAAAUAAAAUUUGUAAAAUAUAUUAAUAAAGUAUAUACGUCUUAUUUAUUUUAUAUUUUGCUUUUUUUAUAAAGCACAAAAGAUAGCGUUCAUUCAUAUAGAAAAGACCACAUUUUUAUGUAUACGCAUGAAAGAAUUAUUAUUUAAUUGUAUUAUCAUAUAUAAGUAUCUUAUUAUUUACAAAAAAUGGAAAAAAAAAAAAAAAAAAAAAAAAAAAAAAAACAGUAUUACUUUUAUAGUUUUUUUUGAAUAUAUAUAUAUAUAUAUAUUUUAAAUACAUGUCAUACAUAUCGUAUAUGUACGAAAUAAGGAAAAAUAUUAGGUACAUAUAUUUUUAUAUAAAAAUUUAUUUAUGUACACCAAAAAAAAAUAUUAAUUUCCGUAAUAUUAUAAAAGUACAAUAAAAAUAUGAUGUAUGUACAAUUUAUGAAUACUACCCGCUUUUCUAAUUUAUAAAAGAAAUAAAAAAAAUAAUAAAUAAAUAAAUAAAAUAAUAAGAUAUAAUGGAAAAUAUCCAUUUUAUAAUUCACUAAUUUUCCCAUGUGAAUGAGAACAAAAUAUGUAUAUUUAUAUAAAAUAACACAUAUUCUUUUGUUCUUUUUAGAAAUAAGAAAUAUAUAUUAUUUUAUAUAACUUUUGUAGUACGCCCUUAACAGCUAUCAUGAAUAAAAAAAGAAAAGAAAAAGAAAUUACUGUAUAAAAAAAUAUAUAUAUAUAUAUAUACAAUAUAAUAUUCUUCUAUUUUUAAAUUAAAAUAUAGAAAUAUAAAUUAAUAGUUCAAAUAUAUUAUUAUCAUUAAUUUUACUUUAUAUACUGUUAAAAGGAAAAAUUUAUUUAUUUAAUAAUCUUCAUUUUUAACGAGCUUACAUAAAUAAAUAAAUGUAUAUAUAUUAUAUAUAUUAUGUAUUAUUAGAAAAUCUGAAAUAUUAUAUUUUAUUAUAUUAUAAUAUUAUAUAAUAAUUUAAAAGAAGCACUUGCUAUUUAUAUAUUUAUAAAUAUAAAUAUAUAUUUUUAAUAUUUUUUAUUAUGUUUUACAAUAAUAUAUAAAAAACAAAUUUUAUAUAUUAUUUUGUAUGUUUUUUAAAUAUGCCUUAACUUUUUUUUUUUUUUUUAAGUACUUUUAAAGGGAACAAAAUCGUCUCAAAAGAAAAAAAAAAAAAAAAAAAAGA